GAUCUGCAAUCUUGGAGCCGCACUGGGUUGGUGGUACCCCAGAGCACACCAGACUUGCAGAAAAAGCAGACUCCAGAGGAAGCUGAGGCAUGACUGCUCAAGAGCCAGCAGUUCCAUGUGCAAUUUUCCUCUGAUAGUUCCUGGGUACUGUUGCCACGGUGAUAAUGGCUGUGCCGUGUCAUUAUCUAUCACCCGACAGUAAGAGAAACUUUUGCGGUCAGAUAUUGUUUAACAGAUGGAGUGGUUUCUGUUGGACACUAAGUACUGCUACAAAC
Molecule: non-coding RNA, 275 nt
Organism: Camelus dromedarius (Arabian camel)
Lineage: Eukaryota; Metazoa; Chordata; Mammalia; Artiodactyla; Camelidae
Source: Ensembl